Schistosoma mattheei is the source of this 48-nucleotide non-coding RNA. The record is from Rfam. NCBI's taxonomy places the organism in Eukaryota, Metazoa, Platyhelminthes, Trematoda, Strigeidida, Schistosomatidae.
AUCCAGCUAACGACGAGUCCCGAAUAGGACGAAACGCGCGUCCUGGAU